RNAcentral lists this ribosomal RNA (253 nucleotides) under uncultured bacterium. Its description in RNAcentral is "partial 16S ribosomal RNA". It matches the Rfam family "Bacterial small subunit ribosomal RNA", at positions 524 to 776 of the family's 1533-position model. The record is from RNAcentral.
UACGGGGGGGGCAAGCGUUGUUCGGAAUUACUGGGCGUAAAGGGCUCGUAGGCGGCCAACUAAGUCGGACGUGAAAUCCCCAGGCUCAACCUGGGAACUGCGUCCGAUACUGGAUGGCUUGAAUUCGGGAGAGGGAUGCAGAAUUCCAGGUGUAGCGGUGAAAUGCGUAGAUAUCUGGAGGAACACCGAUGGCGAAGGCAGCUUCCUGGUCCAAUUCUGACGCUGAGGUGCGAAAGCGUGGGUAGCGAACGGG